Peromyscus californicus insignis is the source of this 2654-nucleotide long non-coding RNA. RefSeq lists it as uncharacterized. The record is from RefSeq and is a predicted model, not a curated record. The transcript has 8 exons. Lineage: Eukaryota; Metazoa; Chordata; Mammalia; Rodentia; Cricetidae.
GACUGAAGCACCGACGGAUGCGCAGAUUUCUUCACGCCCUGAGCUCCGCUGCGGCUGUCCUCUGCCGCCCGGCGUCCGGGUCACUGAGACGGUUUCGGGAGUCCGGCGAGGGCAGGGUGCUGGAGAACCAGUUCUGCCCAGUGAAGUAUAACCAUGGUGCCUGCAUGAUGCUGAGCCUCAUGCUUUCAUUCAAUGUGCAGAAAAACCUAAGGAAUCAUGUCCCCAUUCACAGAUGAAGACACUGAGACAAAGAGAGAUGCUGUCCAGAUCCACAUGCUUCACAACAAAGCCAGAACACAAACCCAGGCGGCCUGACAAUGGGAUUCUGAACAAGGGAAGGACCUUCAAGAAGCUAGGGACAAAGAGAUAACAGAUGAGUCUCUGAUGCCCUCAGACGCACUACGAUGCUUACAAGCCCUGAAUCUGUGCCAGACUGCCUACGUAUCUCACAUGGUCUCAUCCCGGGCAUAUAGGUCCUCACUGAUGACACUUUGCUUCAGCUCUGUGGGCCUGACCUUGGCCCCCUCUGGAGCCUCAGGGAUGGCUGCUGCUGGGAGAACUCAAGGUCCCACUUCUUGUUCCAUCCAGGUGCAGGCAUGCAGCAUUCUACAUAAGAAUGUAGGGGAGAACUUGAACCUUCCGCCCACUGGCUUUUGCUUCAGAGGUGCUUUUGGGGCCGGAGGACCAUGAUGCCAAGACAACAGGAAAAUGGAGACCCAGAGAUACUCUCGUUGAUCAGAAUCUGAAUCACUGAGAGAGCCAACAGGGAGGCCAUAAAAUGACCCCAAGGAGAUCCUAGAGCUAAACUACUCCACACUCUUGCUCAGGCUGAGUUCCCAAGGGAGGCCUAGGGGACAGAACAUCCCACACUCUUGUCACAGUGGGCAGAGAGAGCUGACGGCGGGGAUCAAUGUAUGAACAUGAGCCAGGCAGGGUUCCAAGCCAAUCUCCACUGUUACAAGUCAACAUGGCCUUGGGCACCUCAGCUACACCUCAGCUUACCAGCCUGAAAGCUGUCCUGCCUUAGGCUUCUCAUCUGAAAAAUGGAAUAGCGUUGAGAUGACCCCAAGAAAAGUUGCAACCUACAACUGUGAAGCUCCACUUACAGACGCCACUUUCUCCCCUUGGAGACAGAUCUCUACACUGUUAGGCACCAGCCAUCCCCAUAUGUAUACCAGGCUAGUAUCCAACUUGCCACCCUCCCACCUCUGCCUCCAGAGAUCUGGAAUCACAGGUGUGCACUACUGAGUUUUCAAUGGGGUCUUGCUAUGCCACCGAGACUGGCCUUGAACUUUGCAAAAUGCUCCUGCCUCCACCUCCAGAGUGAAGAGAUCAGAGGAGUGUGCCACUGUGACAGGCCUGACUUCUAUUCUUUGAGACAGAAGCAUCCCCUACUAUAUCAGAGCUGAAUGCCCAUCAAGCUCUAAACACUGGAUCCACAGAGCCCAACGCUGACUCUGACUUCUUUUUCCUUUGGAUCUGGGCAGUGAUCCUGCUGUGGCAGCCCUCGCUAAGACUUCUGGAACAUUCCAGGCUGCAGCCCUCUCUAAGACUCCUGGAACACUCCAGGCUCUCUGUUUUACUUUCAUGCUACCUCCUUCUCUCCCUUCAGUGCCCUCUUCUUUCUGUGCCAGCCAUAUAUAUUUAGCUCCUUUAAUCUUAUUUCAUAAAUCAUUGCUGUGUGUCAAGUCCCUGCAGUGCUGCCAAAGCAUAUCUAAAAUACUUCCUUUCUGGCCAGUGCACCAAGGCCUGCCCGGCCCAUCGGAGCUGCCUCUUACCAGGACAGUCGAUAAGGAGACUGCCAGAGCAGGCUCUGGCACAGGCUGCGGCAAUUCCAGGCCCUCUCUUUGAGAGCUGUUGAAACUGCACUGGACAGUCCUGGAGGUUAUUGACGUCACAGCUCUCCUCCAGCAUCAGCAUCUGAGCUAAAAUCUGCAUCUUUUAUUUGCUGAGGAUUUUGGCCAAGUUCCUUAAAUUCUCUGUGCCUCAAUAUCCUGAGCUAAAAGCCAGAAGUCAUCAUGCAACAUGGUUCUUGCCAAGGACAUGUCAGCUGGAGACUGAAAAGCUUUUAAAAGGGCACAGAUUAGAUUGCUGUAGCCAAUCCACUUCUCUUUUCCUCCCUUUCCUGGUCUAGAAUGGGAAUGUGAUGUCUGGAGCUUCAACAGCCAUACCACACCACAAGUCCAAUUUGAGAUCCGCAGCCAUGGGCUCAGGGACAGGAGGGACCAGAGGCUCAGGAACAGAAGGGAAAGGGAGGGAGCCUGUAUCUCUUCUCCCAGGCUGCACUGUGGGGCUGCCCUACCAAACCUGGACCACCUGCCUCCAGAAUUUUUGUUGGCAAAUAAAUGAAUAACUAAACCCCUCAACUCUUCUUUUGUCAGGUUCCUAUUGCUAGCGGUCUUCCUGAUGAGUAACAACCCCAGUUAGAACUGAGUAAGAUAGGGAAGUGCUUUGCAGAGCAGAGAGGUUCCAGGGAGCCACACUCAGACUGGGGAGUCAACGGGGCAGGAGUAAAAAGCUUGCUGUCUCUCCUACCCCACCUUUCUACUUAGUGUGCAUUAAUGUGCUGUGGGGAAGAGAGGUGACCUAGUUAGGUUUUGUUUCAAGAACAGAUUCUAAGCAAAUAAAUAAAUAAAUACAAGUUUAGGAAAAGA